CCUACGGGUGGCUGCAGUGGGGGAUAUUGGACAAUGGGGGGAACCCUGAUCCAGCGACGCCGCGUGGGUGAAGAAGUGCCUCGGCGUGUAAAGCUCUGUCAGCAGGGAAGAAAAAGACGGUACCUGCUGAAGAAGCCGCGGCUAAUUACGUGCCAGCAGCCGCGGUAAUAAGGAGGGGGCAAGAGUUAUCCGGAGUUACUGGGUGUAAAGGGGGCGCAGACGGCGAUGCAAGACAGGAGUGAAAGCCCGGGGCCCAACCCCGGGACUGCUCUGGGAACUGCGGGGCUGGAGUGCAGGAGGGGUAGGCGGAAUUCCUGGUGUAGCGGUGAAAUGCGUAGAUAUUAGGAGGAACACCGGUGGCGAAGGCGGCCUGCUGGACUGCAACUGACGUUGAGGCCCGAAAGCGUGGGGAGCAAACAGGAUUAGAUACCCCGGUAGUC
Molecule: ribosomal RNA, 440 nt
Filed under: uncultured bacterium
Lineage: Bacteria
Description: partial 16S ribosomal RNA
Rfam family: Bacterial small subunit ribosomal RNA
Source: RNAcentral